AUGGCUCGGCCCGACGAGGAUUGUUUUUUGUGGUCACACAGACGGAUUGGAGAUGGCCAGAGGGCCGAGAUAUUGACGAUGGAAGCGGCCGGGAUAAGAAAGCAUAUUAUAAUGGACAACUUCAUCAGCAGAUACGGUUCGUACGAUAAGUGCGGGCUUAUCAGGAGGGAUAUUUACAAUCUUUGUUGCAGAGAAAAAAUGAAGCUCAUUGCAAAGGGUGAUGCAGAGACGGCAGUUGGCAUUAUGAGGAGCAGGAAGGAGAAGGACCCUGAGUUUUUUUUUUGA
This 285-nucleotide ribosomal RNA is filed under the name Triticum aestivum (bread wheat). RNAcentral's name for it is "partial small subunit ribosomal RNA". The record is from RNAcentral. Lineage: Eukaryota; Viridiplantae; Streptophyta; Magnoliopsida; Poales; Poaceae.